Long non-coding RNA from Strigops habroptila (Kakapo), 3794 nucleotides. Lineage: Eukaryota; Metazoa; Chordata; Aves; Psittaciformes; Psittacidae. The record is from Ensembl.
CUUUUGUGGAUCUAGUUUAUUAAUCAGCAUUGUAAUUAACAAGACCACAUGCUGUACAGAAACCUGAAAUAGAACUACUGCAGAUUUACUGGACUUUAAAUGCUGCUGGACUGUAGUAUAUGAUGUCCAACUGCACGAUUUUUAAAGUGUGGUUAGGGCUGUUUCAAUACACAGACAUACAUUGCUCACUCUCAGAUCCUGUAGUAUGCCAUAGAGCAGGGAAAUUUCCCAGAAAUACAAACUCAAAUAUUUACAAGAAAUCAUCAAUCUCUUUCUUCACUAGGGAUAACAUAAGUUAUACACAUUUUUUCUAUGUAUACCACAUAAAAUCUUUGCCUUCAACUUUACUUUGUGUCUGCACAAACCAAUCUCUUUUAUUUAUCCCAUUAAAUUCUGGUAGUAAACUGCAUUGCAAUCACUUACUUGAUAAUCAUUCAUUAAGGAUUGGUAUUCAAGCUGCAAAAGCAAAACUUGAGCAAUCACAGUCAAGGGUUUUCAAGCUUUAAAAACUCCAACUUUAGAAGCUUGAAUCAAACAAUCUUGAGCUAAUCAACUGUUACUGACCAGAAACUAUUUAGGACUACUGUCUUUGGCUUGACCAUGCUGGAAGCAGGGUGAUAAUGGUAGCUCAGGGCUGAUGGGGUUGCACACUGGAUUACAGCUUGCUCAGCAGAGCAAACUCCACUUCUCUUGCAAAAAAACCCAAACAGAUCUAUACACAUUGGGGUCAUAGAUGUCCAAUACAAAGUGGCUGCUCUCCUCCAGCCCUACACCAAGCAAAAAGACCUGGCUGGAUUCAAAAUCAGAUAACUAAUGUUAUGUCAAGUUAGCUGUUAUGCUAACAUUCAUAAGCCCUCAGGUCCUAUUAGCAUGGGCUCACUGCCAUGAUAAUUAGCUAAAUGACCUGCGUCCCGCCAGCUCACAGCCCAGAGAGAGCAGGUGCUCAGUAGUCUCUGUCUGGCCAAGCAGACAUGCCUAAUGAUUCUUUCUUUAGAAUUAAGUUACACUUUAUAAUACAACAGAGUUCAGGAAAACAGAAACAGCAUAUUUUACUUCAGACAGUUUGACCUCACUCCUUUCUUUAUUUUUAUUUUUUAAAAUAAUUGACUGCUUUCCAGUAUGAAUGAAGUUCCUUCCUUUCUGCCACCACUACCCGUAACUUUGAUGCAAUACUCGGAAGUGCAACAAGCAUGUGCUGAGUUUGGCGGGGGGGACAGGGAAGGAGAGGAGCGUGGGAAUAAUCUAGGCUAGACUGUGUGACACAUUCCUUUGAAGGCAAAGGUUUUCCUUUAUUGUUACACUGUAUGAAACAAAUCUAAUCAUGUAACUACCAUUUUACUGUAUACUGUAUAUAGGAUUGUUUUCUCCACAAAUUCACACAAGUAAGAUAAAAUAAGUUAAAUGGCUAAAAAAAAAAUUACACAAAAAUAUACAGUCUAUGUACUAGAUAAAUUAUUUAUAUAUAUGACAAGAUGUGUAAAGAGUCUCUAGUAACGUUAUUCCUCUGGAUACUGACAAGCCACUCAGAGAAAAAUGUUGCUUCAAAUGCAUGGUUUUAUAUAUUAGAUAGGCAAUAUAUAAAAAUGAGGGAACCAUUUAUCUCCUGGUACAACACUUAUUUAUAAUUAAUUGUUCUGUAUCUCGCUGACACAAUUUUAGAAUAUCACAACACAAUUCAAUGGAUAUAACACUUAAUACUUCCUACAAUCAGAUUUAUCUUUACAAUUCUUUUUGUUUAAGCAAGUUUUUGUGCUGUUUGGUUUUGGUGUUUUGGUUUUUGUUGUUUUGUUUUAAAGAGAAAGGGGGAUGGUUAAUUGCUACUGUACCUUAGGCAACCUCCCCGCCCCCAACCCCUAAGUAUUCAAAUGUGAAGUUUGUUGAGGUUUUUUUCCUACCUAUUAAAAAAACACUAGUUCUGGUUCCUUCACCUUUUCCUAUGAAAAUCCUAAGAUUUUAGAAAUUAUAUUUUUUGCCAGGAAAUUUCAGUUACAACUUUCAGUCAGAACAGAAAUGUUACAGGCCAAAAAAAUGAGCGUUUUCCAAUUCAGCAACCACCUCUGUAAACAUUUGCUGUGGCAGCCUUCUGUAAUAAAACCUGAAGUCCUCUGCUUACAAUACAAAGCAUUAGCUGUCAGCAUUAUUCUAAAUUUGCACAAUUAAUAUGGUUGGUAAAUCUGUGUAAACUACAGAUAAGCUUUUUUCGCGUAUCCCUGAAAAGGACUGCCGAAUUUCCUCAUCGUGAUGUCUCCAAAGGAAACAACAAACAGCUUUGUAUAUAUUAGGUAUGAAUUAAUCUGUCACAUUUUUAAUUGUCCUGGAAUCAGAAAUGAGUUGUCAGCUAUUGUGUGUCAGUACCCAAAGGAUUAUUAUUUUUUUCCAGGAUCUACAUGCAACUGGAAGCCAGUGUGCCACAUCUUUUCUAAAUGUUACUGAAAACUACAUUAAAAAAAAAAAAAAAAAAAAGGAAAGGAAAAGAAGUACAUCAUUAGAUAAUCUGAUGUCCAUUAAUUAAAUUCUAUCAGUAGGUUAAAAGUGAAGCUUCUUUUGUUUUGCACAUAAAAUCUAAAUGUGGUUUGAAGAGAUUUACAGUGGGGACAGCAAUAUAUAAAGCUACUUAUACCUGCUGGGCACAUAAGAGAAGCUCUUUUAGCAUUCAUUGGAAACCCUCAACAACUUGAACUUCUGUAAAUUUUACAAGCAGCUAAUAUUACAGCAUUUUUACACACAGUUUGUUUAUAAAUUACAGAUUUAAGUUACAAUAUGAAGCCUACAUAGAAUUCUAUCCAUAGGAAAUAUUCACACACUGUUUUUUCCCCUUCCAUACAACUUCGAUUGUCUCACUUAAUGUGGCAAUAAAACUAAAAAGUUACACAGUUUUUUAAAGAAAAAAUUUCUUUGUAGGUACAUAGUGUAAAUGAUGGAAUGGCUGAACAGCAACAAAAUACUAAAAGGUAAAAGUGUUUUUUCACCUAAGAAAGGAACCUACUUUUCAUCCACUGUAGAUUUUACCAGCUUUUUUCUGCCAGUAUUAAAUACCCUCAAGUACACAAAACACUGAAAAAAAAUCCCUCAUCUUUAACAAAACUCAUCUUGAGACUUGAUCAAAUAACCUGAUUGGGGUGUGCUUAUGAUUACAUUUAUCCAGCUUUCAGUACCUAGACUCUGUCAGUCAUUCUCUAAUAAGCUAAGCCACAACGACGAGCACUCCUUCAUCUACUAGGUUGUGGUGAGGUAACUAAUAUUCUAGCUAACCUUUCACUGAAUACUUACAAUAGGUGAAUAUAGCUAGAAAAAAAACGCCUUAUGCAUCACAAUCUUUUAAACACCAGUAGCUUGCAGCCACGACAUCACAUCAGCCAAAAAAACUACCCCAUUUUCCUACUGUUUUCAGCAGUGCCCAAGUAAAUUUCAACUAACAGGAACAGUAGCCAAAGCAAGCUCUGCAAGAUGAAAAAAAGAACCCAAAACAAAACAAAAUAGAGAGUAAUGGCUUGAAAAGCAUAAUAUGUAUCAUAUUGUUGCUUGUAUUACUGUAGAAAGGAAAAUCUUGGAAAUUAAAAAGUUACUUGCAUCUUUUUUUUCCAGUUUUAAUCUUGCAUAUCCUAUCAUUGUCAUGUUAUUUCACACAGAAAAUCCUAGUUGAGAGCUUUCUAUUUAAUCUAUUGCCUUCUUUCAAAGAAUAAAUACCUGUAGACUGAUCCAAUAAAAAUUAAAAUCAAAACCAGUUGUCAUGUCUUUAAGUAUAUUUUCCCUCUUAGUUACAUAAAAGAUAAAUUUUGGUGGAAAGAUAUACU